This 1398-nucleotide ribosomal RNA is filed under the name Mammaliicoccus lentus. Its description in RNAcentral is "bacterial SSU rRNA". It matches the Rfam family "Bacterial small subunit ribosomal RNA". The record is from RNAcentral. Lineage: Bacteria; Bacillati; Bacillota; Bacilli; Caryophanales; Staphylococcaceae.
AGUCGAGCGAACAGAUGAGAAGCUUGCUUCUCUGAUGUUAGCGGCGGACGGGUGAGUAACACGUGGGUAACCUACCUAUAAGACUGGGAUAACUCCGGGAAACCGGGGCUAAUACCGGAUAAUAUUUUGAACCGCAUGGUUCAAUAGUGAAAGACGGUUUCGGCUGUCACUUAUAGAUGGACCCGCGCCGUAUUAGCUAGUUGGUAAGGUAAUGGCUUACCAAGGCGACGAUACGUAGCCGACCUGAGAGGGUGAUCGGCCACACUGGAACUGAGACACGGUCCAGACUCCUACGGGAGGCAGCAGUAGGGAAUCUUCCGCAAUGGGCGAAAGCCUGACGGAGCAACGCCGCGUGAGUGAUGAAGGUCUUCGGAUCGUAAAACUCUGUUGUUAGGGAAGAACAAAUUUGUUAGUAACUGAACAAGUCUUGACGGUACCUAACCAGAAAGCCACGGCUAACUACGUGCCAGCAGCCGCGGUAAUACGUAGGUGGCAAGCGUUAUCCGGAAUUAUUGGGCGUAAAGCGCGCGUAGGCGGUUUCUUAAGUCUGAUGUGAAAGCCCACGGCUCAACCGUGGAGGGUCAUUGGAAACUGGGAAACUUGAGUGCAGAAGAGGAGAGUGGAAUUCCAUGUGUAGCGGUGAAAUGCGCAGAGAUAUGGAGGAACACCAGUGGCGAAGGCGGCUCUCUGGUCUGUAACUGACGCUGAUGUGCGAAAGCGUGGGGAUCAAACAGGAUUAGAUACCCUGGUAGUCCACGCCGUAAACGAUGAGUGCUAAGUGUUAGGGGGUUUCCGCCCCUUAGUGCUGCAGCUAACGCAUUAAGCACUCCGCCUGGGGAGUACGACCGCAAGGUUGAAACUCAAAGGAAUUGACGGGGACCCGCACAAGCGGUGGAGCAUGUGGUUUAAUUCGAAGCAACGCGAAGAACCUUACCAAAUCUUGACAUCCUUUGACCGCUCUAGAGAUAGAGUCUUCCCCUUCGGGGGACAAAGUGACAGGUGGUGCAUGGUUGUCGUCAGCUCGUGUCGUGAGAUGUUGGGUUAAGUCCCGCAACGAGCGCAACCCUUAAGCUUAGUUGCCAUCAUUAAGUUGGGCACUCUAGGUUGACUGCCGGUGACAAACCGGAGGAAGGUGGGGAUGACGUCAAAUCAUCAUGCCCCUUAUGAUUUGGGCUACACACGUGCUACAAUGGAUAAUACAAAGGGCAGCGAAUCCGCGAGGCCAAGCAAAUCCCAUAAAAUUAUUCUCAGUUCGGAUUGUAGUCUGCAACUCGACUACAUGAAGCUGGAAUCGCUAGUAAUCGUAGAUCAGCAUGCUACGGUGAAUACGUUCCCGGGUCUUGUACACACCGCCCGUCUCACCCGAGAGUUUGUAACACCCGAAGCCGGUGGAGUAAC